Molecule: long non-coding RNA, 2433 nt
Organism: Cannabis sativa
Lineage: Eukaryota; Viridiplantae; Streptophyta; Magnoliopsida; Rosales; Cannabaceae
Exons: 3
Source: RefSeq, a predicted model, not a curated record
AAAGUGAUGAGAGCUUUUGUCAGAUAAGUCAUUCAAUCAAAACUUGACAAGAAAAAGCUCUCUUUUUUUCAUCAAAAUUUUGAACUUAGUCUCCCUCAUCUCUCUUUGAUUUUUGUGCCAUACACUGAUUAAAUACACUUUAGUUAGUGUGAUACUUAGGUCUUCGUGGAAGGCUGUAUAGAAGAGUGAUCAAAUUAAUAGUUCAAGUUUUAAGUUCAUCACUUGGAAAUACUCUGCUGCAGAAAUAGAAUCAAAGGCUAGAGUGAUUGAACAAAAAGAAUAACUUUAUUCUGCUACAACCAAUGAUUGGCUAGUAUAAAUCAUAAGGUUGAUGAAGAAAGCCAGACCAUUAUUUUGUGGAGAUCUCUCCCAAUCACAUAUCAAAAAGUCAAAGGUCCCAUCAAAUAUGGUAGAGAUGUGAUUGCGUUGGAGGAUGUUCUUGCCACACUCAAAUCGAAGGAUUUUGAAUUACAAUUGGAAAAAUAAUCCAAGGAGGAAGAAGUGUAUUUGGAAAGAGAGAGAUCCCCCAAGAAAGUAAGUUCAAAAAGUAAACACCAUCACUCUCAAUCAAGAUCGAAGUCCAGAGAGAAGGAAACUCGAAAGUGUUACUUUUGUGGAAAGUCUGGUAACUUGCAAAUAUUUUGCAAGAAGUUCAAGGAGCACAAGACUUCAACAACAAUCACAAUAAAGAUAGGAAGGACAACCAACAUCAUCACCAUAAGAAGGAUUCAACUGGAGUCACGGAAGAUAGUGACGACUGCUCAAUGGAUGAAGAAUUAUUCUCCAUCUCAGAAUCCUCAAUGAGCAGGGAGUGGAUUCUUAACUCUGGAUGCAUGUAUCACAUGUGUCCAAGUCGAGAAACAUUUUUUGAUCAUAGAUCAAUUGAUAGAGGUAAAUUUCUAAUAGUAAAUGAUCAUUCAUGUAGGGUCAUUGGAACUGGAAAGGUUACCAUCAAACAGUAUGAUGGUGGAUUUAAAGUAUUGAUGAACGUAAGGAACUUUCUAGAGUUAAGAUAAAACUUCAUAUUACUGGGUGCACUUAAAGAUGAGGGUUAUAGAUACAAGUCCAUGCAAAGAAUCUUGAGAAGUACCAAAGAUUUCCUGAUAGUGAUGAAAGGGGAAAAGAUUAAUGGUUUAUAUGUUGUCCAAGGAGAAACUGUUCUAGCAGGAGAGGCGAAUUUGGUAAAAGGGCUAGAAUCGAAUAUGUAGUUGUCGCAUCAUAGACUUGGGCAUAUCAGUUAACAUGACCUUAAAGAAAUGCACAAAUAAGGUAUAAUUAAAAAUUUAAAUUCUUAUGCCUUACCAUUUUUGUGAAGCUUGUGUUUUAGGGAAAUAACAUAAGUUGAAAUUCACUCCAGCAAGGCAUAUAACUAAGAAGAGACUUGAAUAUGUGCAUGCUAAUCUUUGGGGGCCAUACAAAGUGUCGACUCACUCUGUGGUCUCCGGAAGAAGGUUCAACAAUGUUGUCAUUUUCUUCAUCAUCAUCAUCAUCUUCGUCAUGAUCAUCAAUAAAACUAUUGAUGGUUUUGAGCAAUUCAAGAGAUCUCUGGCACUGCUACACAACUUGCAAGGUCUUCCUCUUAAUGAGUACACGAUCGUUCUUAGAAUCAUUGUUAUUAACAUUUACUAUGAUCGAGGGUUUAAAGUCUAAGAAAUCAACAACCUCCAUCCCAACUUGAAUGAAAUUUUUUAGCCCCAAAUUAGAAAUCAGAAACCCUAGUAUAGAAAAAUUUGAAAAGAAUUAGAGUUGCAACCUUGGAUCUAAGAGUAGAAGGUUGUAAUCUUUGUAGAGUUAUAGUUGUUUGAGUCGGAGCCCUUUGCUUGGAUCUCGCAGAAGAAAAAGAAAAGAACUGCGGUUUGAUGGUUGAAGAAGAAAAAGGAAAAAAAGAAAAAAAAAGAAAAGAAAAAGAAAAAAUUAUUUAUUUAAUUAUUAUCUUAUUUUUUAAAUUAUUUUUAUAAUAUUUUAAUAAUUAUUACGUGUACCACUAAAAAUUUGUCACGUGUACACAUGUCUACACGUGGCUAGCAGUGUCGGACCCAUCAUAUCUCAUAUUUUUCCUUUAAUUAAUCAUAUGUUACAUGUCCCAGCCGUAUGUUUUAAUUAAAAUAUUUUUAUAAUUUAAUAAUUCAAAUGAUGUAAUGACAAUGGGUAAUAUAAAAUGAUGAUGAUAUCAAUUUUGAAUGAUCGGGAUAUACAAAAGAGUGUUAUAAUGUCAGACUUCUAUUAUAAAAAAGAAAUUUUAAAAUAUAGACGUACACUUAACUUAUCAUAUUAUUAAAAAAAAAUUGUAUAAAAUGUUAGUAAUAUUAAUAUAUUGCUUGAUUUAUUUUAUAUGUACAUAGUUAUACAUUUUUUAGUAAGAUAAAAUGAUAGCGAGUUAGUGAAAUAUGAUGAACGAGUGAUAUAAAAUGAUGAGAAUAAUUUUAAAUGAUC